This 427-nucleotide ribosomal RNA is filed under the name Pholcidae gen. n. sp. MACN270. RNAcentral's name for it is "partial 16S ribosomal RNA". It matches the Rfam family "Bacterial large subunit ribosomal RNA", at positions 1829 to 2597 of the family's 2925-position model. The record is from RNAcentral. Lineage: Eukaryota; Metazoa; Arthropoda; Arachnida; Araneae; Pholcidae.
UUCUUUAAGAAACUAAUUUAAAGUAAAACCUGCUCAAUGAAUAUUAAAUAGCCGCAGCUUAGCCUGUGCUAAGGUAGCAUAAUCACUAGCUUUAUAAUUAAAAGAUAGAAUGAAUGGUCAAAUGAAGAAACUAUUGUCUCCUAUAGCCCAAUUAAAUUAAUAUAAAGGUAAAAACCCCUUUUUAAAAAAGAAAGACGACAAGACCCCGACAAACUAUACUUUUAGCUGGGGCGGCACUUUAAAAAAACCUUAAUUUAUAAAACAAACUAAACCAUAAAAAUGAUAAAGAACAGUUACUGCGGGGAUAACAGCGCAACUCUUUUAUAAAGCUCAUAUAUAAUAAAGACUCUACGACCUCGAUGUUGAAUUAAAUCCCUUCAAGGCGCAAAAGCUCUGAUACGGCGGUCUGUUCGACCAAUAAAAAUUU